UUUUAAAAAAUCACACAUGAAUCAAGGUUGUGACUUCUGUUUUAAUAUAUAAGAUAAAAUCUUACGGAAGAAAGAUGAUGAUGCAGUUAAGAGUAGAUCCUUAUAAAGCAGGUAGUAUUGUCGGUUGUCGAAUCGUCUAUAUAAUCUUUCUCAUCUUACAAUACUAAAAGGAGAAUAACUAGAGCAGAGAGAGUGUCCACAUCAUCCGUUUAAUUCCACCAAUCAUAAGGUUGUCCGAUGCCACGUCAUGCCCUCAUCAAUCGAUAACAGAUUAAUAAUGUGUCAAAAAAAUUUGGAAUGCUAUGAUAAUCUUUAGAAAAUUUUACAUUUAGACAUACUUUUUCCUUCUUUCCUAUCACUUAGACAUAUUCUCUUCAUGUAGAGUACUUUACUAGGGUAGAAUGACCAAACUACCCCAAAACUACAACUAGCUUAGGUACCCUUUUUAAUUUAGAUUUCUUUUUAUUUUUACUUCACUAUAACCCAAUUACAUCCUCUCUUUUAUCUCUAUCCUCUUAGGAACCCUAGAUUUUGUCAAUUCCCUUCUCACCGCCGCAGCUCAAGAAUCAAAAGUUUAAGCUUUAUGCAAUCUUUCUAUCUCCCUUUCGAUUGUAAACCCUAAAUCCACUCCACCUUUCUGCUUUUCUAAUUACCGGCGAGGCUUUCCGGCCAGAUUGCAAACUAUCUGAACGGCUCUUUGCAGCAUACAUAUUUUAGAGGAAGUGAUUCAAUCUCGUCGGUACUGUCAACAUUGAUUCGUGUGGUCAGGGAUAGGAAACAUGUGGUCAGCAACAUCGAUGAUGUGGUCAUUAGAUGAGUGGAACUAGCGAGGUGUGUUAGGGUUUGUUGGUUAGAGGUAGCGGCAUCGUGGUCAGGGGUCACACUUGUAGUACGAUAGUUGGGGUCAGAGGUGGUGUGGUGUGGUAUGGAUGUUAUGUUGUUACAUGUUAUUAGCUUGUUACCUUAGUGGAGAGAAGAAGGGUUGGUGAGCAUGUCGUGAGUAUUAUGGUAGUUGUCAUACACAUCCACGAAUAUUUGAUAAAGAGUUUGGUUGGCAAAACACUCAAGAUCAUCCUGUCUAAAUAUUGGAGAGGUACACGUUGGGUCACCCGUGCGGAUGUGGUUAGCAUCCUCUGUUUUCUGGACACAUGAAUCCCAAAUGAAGUGUUUAAAGGUGAGUUUAACAAGAAAGGAAUGUAACCGAAGGGGAGAAAACAGAGAGGAGACAUUUAUUAAUAAAUAACCUAGAACGUGUUUUAAAAGAAAUGAAACUGGUCUCUUUUUGGUUUUAUCUUUCUCUUUCCAAUCAAGGGCAAUUUUGUCUAAACAAAAUCAAAAAGCAAGUUUAAAAUACACUACCAACAAGAAAUAUGUCAAAGUGUAAGGGUCUAAGACUAAAGUAUGUCUAUAUGUUAAUCUCUCUAAUCUUUGUGGGCUUCCUCAUAUGGCCUGUAAAUAUUUUUCUCUCUAUAACUUAACGCCUCGAAUUUCUUUUCCUUUUUACUAUUAGUCCUAACUUAAGAGUAAAUAAAAAACGUAUGAAUUAUGAUCUAUAAAUGAAAGAUGUAUUAAUCUUAAACAUACGUAUUUAAUUCGAUUGGCGACAUUCAUGCCGAAGAUGAACGGUUUAGAACUUAUAUAUAAAAGUGAAUCGAAUACCUCACGAACUCAGAAGAACAAAUUUACAUUAGAAUCACCUUCCAAUCUUCCAUUUCACUUUCUGCUUUCAGAAGCCAGAGAGCCGCUACGAUUUUCCUCAGGAUCUUUUUUUCCAAAACAAAAAACUCUCGAACCUAUUUUAACUGCUGGCAAAUUCAUGCCUCUUCCAUAUCACCGUAUCCUCCUCAGUUUCUGCUGGUAGAGGUCCUCUACCGUGGUGUUGGAUCACCGGGACAGAGGAAGGUCCACAGACUACGACGAGUGAAUGUUGAUCAAAUACAAGGAACUAGGCGCCACGGAACUAUCGCUGGAAGGCUAACUCAAUAUUGCUUUCACGGAGAAUGGAUCUCUCUUCACCGCGUUUAAGAGCAGAAACGUGGCUGAUCGGCUUCUUCCAAUAAGAGGAAGCUGGAAGCAUGCGUCUAGGAGAUAAGAAGAUCAAAAGGAUGAUGAAGUUGACGCAUUAGAGCUACACCACCAUCGACGAUCUGGAUCUGGAGAAAGUAUCCAUGGCUGUCGCUUCUAAAAUUAAUGGCGGCGGAGGAGGCACGAAAUGAAGCUAUUGGCGGUGGUGGUCGGACUGUUCUAGGUUACAAACAAAUCUACUGAUCUCUUUGUCUCAAUAUCUAACACAAUUUUGGUGUAUUUCUUCUACGAUUUAAUUUUCUUAGGUUGUGAUUAAUAAAAAUUGUCAUUUUCUUUUUUUACUUAAUUUUGGUUUUAUUUUGAUAAAUUCGUCAUAGAACUAUAAACUAAUGUAUUAUCCAUAAAGCUAAUAAGAUUUGGUCAUAUGAGUCA
Molecule: long non-coding RNA, 2457 nt
Organism: Brassica napus (rape)
Lineage: Eukaryota; Viridiplantae; Streptophyta; Magnoliopsida; Brassicales; Brassicaceae
Exons: 2
Source: RefSeq, a predicted model, not a curated record